AUCAGUUUCCUUUUAUCCAAUAAAUUAAAAAAUAAAUAGUAUAGAUAUGUAUUAUUUCCAUUACUUUGAUCUUCACAAAAUCAAACUUCCUUAUAAAUAUAAACAAAAAAAUGAUAUACAAGAGUCAAAAUUAUUGCAACUAUAACUUGUUGGCCAAGGGAAAUAGUCUUUCCCAUUUCUGAUUUGGUAGGGGUGGUGCUGCUGCUGCUUUUGGUGAAGCUUGGAGGAGAAUAGAGAAAAGCCAUUGAAAUGGCGUCCUCUUCCUCACCUUUGAAGAUUGGCCUUCCCAACACAUGCUUGUAUUGCCCACCACUCAGAGUCUGUGUUUGAUCUCCAACAGUGACGACUAUUGCAUCUUUAUCCGGGGAGAAAGACACCCAUCCUUUUUUGGAGUAAACAUGAAACUCUGAAGACCCAUCACAUAUGUGCAAGCACAAGGCAUGAGAAUAAUCAAUUCCCCUUAUCAGCAUUCUGAUCACAUCAUAUCCUAAGGAGUUAGCUCUAUGAUCAUGUUUAUGCUUGUAAAGAUAACAUACUGAUCCAACAAGAUCUAGCCCCUGCAUAAUAUCUUCCCCAUACGUUGUCUUUUUCUGAGAAUUUUCUCUGAGAACUUGUAGAAUUUUCUCCGCUACAUUUUCCAUAUCAGAUACAAGAGUUUCCAUUUUCUCACUGAAAUUUGAAUAUCCAGCUGCGUGUAUUUCCUCCAUAUCUACCUUCAACUUCUCAUCUCUACACCACACGAACUCUUCACUCAACUCGCUUUCCUCCUCUCCAUGCACUUCCUCGAACCCAUAUGGCUUUUCCAGGGACCUUGUCACAGCCACCCUUUUCUCUGGCGGCACCCUAAAUAUUCCGGCUGCCAUGGCCAGCACCAAUCUUGUAAAAUCACUUGGAAUUCCAUAAUUAACUAGUUGAAAGCAUCCAAUCCUUUCAAGGGAAUCCAAAAUCCUGGAAAUUGAAUCACUGUCUGCAGAAUGUAAUGAUUGGAAAUCGAUUCUGGGGGGUGUUUCAACAAUCUUUUGCCUAGGGAAGAUCUUAUCUGGCAAAACUAAAUCCGGCACACGCAGUGAGUGCUCAAGAAAUUCAGUAAGCACAUCAUCAUUGGCCACGGAUGAUCUCCGGCCAGAGGCAAUCGGAGAUGGAGGCGGGGCACGGAAAUCAAUGGGAUUUUCAGGCAUGGUAUGAGGUGAUGAAAAUGCCAUGAAUAUGAUACUAUUUAAAACUGAACUCAGGCACGGUAAACAAUUCUUUUUUGCUUGCUGUAGAGAGAUAUUAGAGUGUUUUAAAG
This 1288-nucleotide unclassified non-coding RNA is filed under the name Hevea brasiliensis (rubber tree). Lineage: Eukaryota; Viridiplantae; Streptophyta; Magnoliopsida; Malpighiales; Euphorbiaceae. The record is from RNAcentral.